This 253-nucleotide ribosomal RNA is filed under the name uncultured bacterium. RNAcentral describes it as "partial 16S ribosomal RNA". It matches the Rfam family "Bacterial small subunit ribosomal RNA", at positions 524 to 776 of the family's 1533-position model. RNAcentral also lists the same sequence under 1 other name. The record is from RNAcentral.
GACGAACCGUGCGAACGUUGUUCGGAAUCACUGGGCUUAAAGGGCGCGUAGGCGGGCUGCCAAGUCCGGGGUGAAAUCCUGCGGCUUAACCGCGGAACUGCCCCGGAUACUGGCGGCCUCGAGUGGGGUAGGGGCGUGCGGAACUCUGGGUGGAGCGGUGAAAUGCGUUGAUAUCCAGAGGAACUCCGGUGGCGAAGGCGGCACGCUGGACCCCUCCUGACGCUGAGGCGCGAAAGCCAGGGGAGCGAACGGG